CGCGAAUGGCUCAUUACAACAGCCAUAAUCUACUUGAUCUUGACACAUCCUACAUGGAUAACUGUGGUAAUUCUAGAGCUAAUACAUGCAACAAAGCUCCGACCUCCGGGGAGGGGUGCAUUUAUUCGAGGAAAACCGGUACGCUCCUUCACAGGGUGUUACGUUGACCCAGAGUAACUUAGCUGAUCGCAUGGCCUUGUGCCGGCGACGUGUCUUUCGAGUGUCUGCCCUAUCAACCUUCGGCGGUAGUGUAUCGGACUACCGUGGUGGUGACGGGUAACGGAGAAUCAGGGUUCGACUCCGGAGAAGGGGCCUGAGAAAUGGCCACUACGUCUAAGGAUGGCAGCAGGCGCGCAAAUUACCCACUCUCAGAAUGAGGAGGUAGUGACGAGAAAUAACGGGGCCGCCGCCUUCGGGUGGUCGGCCACUGGAAUGGGUACAACUUAAACCCUUUAACGAGUAUCAAGCAGAGGGCAAGUCUGGUGCCAGCAGCCGCGGUAAUUCCAGCU
RNAcentral lists this ribosomal RNA (509 nucleotides) under Ditylenchus sp. 5 JH-2014. RNAcentral describes it as "bacterial SSU rRNA". It matches the Rfam family "Eukaryotic small subunit ribosomal RNA", at positions 88 to 590 of the family's 1831-position model. Lineage: Eukaryota; Metazoa; Nematoda; Chromadorea; Rhabditida; Anguinidae. The record is from RNAcentral.